AAUAUCAAAGGUGAGCCAGUACAGGAUGGACCCGCGUCUGAUUAGCUAGUUGGUAAGGUAACGGCUUACCAAGGCGACGAUCAGUAGCCGACCUGCGAGGGUGAUCGGCCACAUUGGAACUGAGACACGGUCCAAACUCCUACGGGAGGCAGCAGUGGGGAAUAUUGCACAAUGGGCGAAAGCCUGAUGCAGCAACGCCGCGUGAGUGAUGAAGGCCUUCGGGUC
Molecule: ribosomal RNA, 225 nt
Filed under: Clostridioides difficile
Lineage: Bacteria; Bacillati; Bacillota; Clostridia; Peptostreptococcales; Peptostreptococcaceae
Description: partial 16S ribosomal RNA
Rfam family: Bacterial small subunit ribosomal RNA
Source: RNAcentral